This 253-nucleotide ribosomal RNA is filed under the name uncultured bacterium. RNAcentral describes it as "partial 16S ribosomal RNA". It matches the Rfam family "Bacterial small subunit ribosomal RNA", at positions 524 to 776 of the family's 1533-position model. The record is from RNAcentral.
UACUUAGGGGGCAAGCGUUGUCCGGAUUUACUGGGCGUAAAGAGCGUGUAGGCGGCCACGCAGGUCCGUUGUGAAAACUGGAGGCUCAACCUCCAGCUGUCGACGGAAACCGUAUGGCUAGAGUCCGGAAGAGGAGAGUGGAAUUCCUGGUGUAGCGGUGAAAUGCGCAGAUAUCAGGAAGAACACCAAUGGCGAAGGCAGCUCUCUGGGACGGUACUGACGCUGAGACGCGAAAGCGUGGGGAGCGAACAGG